UCACCGUCACCGCUCUGGCCUCGAUGUCCCCCCUCUCCGCUCCCCUACCCUCGCCGCUCCGCCCUUCUCAUCGCGGUCUCCGCCUAGGCGCCGCUGCAAGCUCUCACCUCCCCCUCUCUCGCCGCUCCGGCCUCCCCCUCCCUCUCUCCGCUCUCCCACCCUCGCCGCUCCGUCCUCCUCCCCGUCGCACACGCCGCCGCGGUCAAGGCCCAACCCACGGCACCCUCCCUCUCCCCCGCUCGCAAUCGACGCCCUCUCUCCCCCUCCCCCUCACUGCUGUCGUCGCCCUCCCCUCCUGCGCCACGACCUGCACCCCCCCCCCCCCCUCUUUCGCGGCGCCGCCGGGUUGCGACCCGCUGGAGGGGCUCUUGCGCCAUCGUUCCUCCGCCGCGACCCGCGCGCCCCCUCCUCUGCAGCGUCGUUGGGUCGCGACCCGCGAGAGGACUUCUACGCCGCCGCCACAACGGUGUCCCAGCGCUGGUGGUCGGGGCAGCGGCUACCUGGGCCAGCACCUCCUCGCCACGUUCGCCUCGGUCGCCGGCUUCCUCGACGUCGCGUUCACCCACCACAGCCAGGCCCCGCCGCAGCCGCUCCUCGAUGCGUACCCCUCCGUCCGCGACUUCCACAUCUCGACCCCCGCUCUAGCUUACGGCUUCGAGGCGAUAUCCACGACCUUCGGCCUGGUGCGUCUCAUUCCCAUUGAGUAGAACUUGCACUUGGUCUGUGACCAUCGUGUGCCAUUUUGUCAAACACUUCCGGGAAAUCUCCUCCUGCAUUUGCUUGAACAUUCGGCCGAUGGGUACUGGUUCAUUUGCGAAUUGCGAGUGCGUGCUACUGCUCUGAUAUUAACUUCUGCACUCUACUGCUACUGCUCUGCUCACCUGUACAAGUGAGACUUACUGAUUCAGUAAUUUGCGAUUGCCUGGUUUAUGUUACAUGGAUUACUAGCUCAUUAGUAGUACAAGAGUUCUCCGCUAAUCGAGGAGCAUGCUAACUUUGACCUGUUCAGACCCAUGUAGUUGUCAGCUGUGCUGCAAUCUCAGUUCCUCGGGCUCGGGCAUGUGAAAUGGAUCCACCCACUGCUAUACUGUUCUACAUACAUGUAAACAAUUACACUUUAUCAGUUAUUAGUACCAUGGUGACUGUCUGACUGACAUCAACAUACAGACUGCAGAUGGCUGAAUCUGUUGUUGUUUGUGGAUAUAGUCACAGUAUAAUCAAAUCUGUAUCUGCAAGUCCAUCAUCGGUAUUAAUCUCGUCUCUGUGAUGGAAUGUAGCAUCGAAGCGUCCAUAUCCGUCUGUUAACACACAUGCACUUUUUCAAAUCUACAUUUUUCUUUCUUUGUUACUCCUGUAAUGAUUCUCCGAAAGAAUCAAACAUAGUUAUUUCAGAAACAUGAUAUUUACAAUGCGGGUUGGGUUUAACUUUUGAACUGAAAUAGUUUACAACCUGAGCAUUGAGCUCCCUUUAAGCAUUGUGCUUUGGUAUGAAGCUGCAUUGUCUAUUACUUGGUAGGUGCUCAAAUACUUGCUAGGUGCUCAAAUUAUCAAGUAGACAUAACCUUUUAUGUAAACAUUUAUUUAUAAUUCCAAGUUCUAAUUUAAGCUAAUUGCAUGAAUUUAUCAUUAUAUAUCAUUACAAAUAUUGCAUGCUAAAUUGAUACUUCUAAAGAUAAUUUUUAUCACCCAUUUGUUUCUCACUCCUUUUUUACCCCCUGCAAACUGCUGAUUGCCUGGAGUGAUUGUAUUUUUUUCAACAAAGUUCAAGCAGGUUUAGCAGCUACUGCCACUUCUUUCUUAGUUUCUUCUUCAGCUCCAGCGUUUGGACCCUACCUCUAUUGCUACUGGGUACUGUUUACCUGUACAUUGAUUUUGUGUAUUGUUUCGUUUCAAGUUCAGGCUGCUGCAAAGUGGACAAGGACCUAAGCAAGGGAUGUCAUGUUACCUUUGUAGGUUCUUGACCUCCUACAUGCGUUUUCUUUCUUUAAAAAGUAUUUCAUAUUUACUUUGCUGCAUACAUGAUCCAGUAGAUAUAGCCAAAGUAUGGCUCUUCAUUUUUCUGUUCAAUGCUGAGAUUAUGAUGUGAGUUCUCUUUUGUGAAUGACAGUUACAUAGAUUGUGUGAAAUAUGGUACUUUGUAAUAGUUAGUUGGUAUAGCUAAAUCCAUUGCUUUUAAAAAUGUGUGGUAAAAAUAGGGCACCUAUGCGAUAGCCAAAUUGGUACCAGCUGGUCAUGCUGUAUAUACUAUAUCAAGAAACUAUACAUCAUCAUGUACGGAAAAACUAACGGUUGCACGCUGUCCCCUCUCAUCUGGUAUUCACAUUACUUUAAUUUUUGAGCCACACACAUUUACUUUGUCAAUAGUAAAAUUUAAGAUUAGUAAAAGGUUGCUUUCAUGUUGGGGUAUGUGACCUUUCAAGAGAUCUGAUGUCUAUUUGUGGUCAUAGGAUAGAGAAUUUAACUGGUUAUGUGUUUUAGUGGGUUUUCAGUAAUCUUCUCAAUAUGUUUUGUAUCAUAUGACCGACAAUUCUCUGCUUUCAUAAUGGUUCUGUGGUAUAUGAUGCUUCUUUCAUCUUUUGGAGUUUUGGGUGCAGUCAGCCAUAGAAGAGGUUGUACCAAUGAGAUUUUGUUGGCCAUUGUUCUGCCAAGCUUGCUGAUUAUUCCAUUUCGGUAAAGGUGAGGAUAUUCGUUAUUCUGCUGCCAAACUACCGGCAGGAUGUAGCUCUGUGUAUACUCAACUUCAGAUGUGUUUUUGGCAAAAUAAAGUUGUAUGGUUUGUGAUUUGCCUACAACCAAGCCUGCCAUCAUCUGAGAAGGCUUCAAGCAGGUUCUACAGUUCUAGCAGUACUCGUUUUGUUUACUCAAUCUGAAUUAGCAAAUUAUACGAUGUCUGACCAAAUACCAUUUUUUCAUUAGAACCUGAUGUGAUUAGCAAGUAAUCCCUGUUAUUCCAAAAGGAGAACAAUAAAAACUGAAAAGUUUAUACAACGUAUAUGCUUCCAUUGCUCUGCUCAGCAGUAGAUAAUAUGAUAAUUUACAUAUAACCUAUUGUAAUAUAUUCGUAUGCCUGCAUUUAUAUUCUUUGUCACAGUCUGAAUGAUUUUUAGUUUAUCUUUAGAGCUAAGUAUCAUACGGCUUCAAAACUGAUGUCACUUUGAAUAUGGUGCUGAGAGGAUUUCAAGACAAUGGCCAAGAGUGCUCGACUUCCGCGAUCAGAUCUUUUGGAAGGAAAGUACCAUGCCUCCCUCAACAGUCAUUCUUCAUGGUGGGAGGCAGUGAGGAAGUGAUUUAAGAAAAAUGCAUCGCUGUCUAACAUGUUGCUUAUCAAGAAUGCCUAGCAGCCCUUACAAAUCUGAAUGUAUGUCAAUAGCAGCAUGCGUCUUAUGUUGUACUUUGGUUGAAUAUUUUGAUGUGAUUAUCUGAUUGAUUGUUUGAUUUGCAUCAA
This is a long non-coding RNA of Panicum virgatum (switchgrass), 3445 nucleotides long. RefSeq lists it as uncharacterized. The transcript has 2 exons. The record is from RefSeq and is a predicted model, not a curated record. Lineage: Eukaryota; Viridiplantae; Streptophyta; Magnoliopsida; Poales; Poaceae.